GGGUGCGUAGCUCAAUUGGAUAGAGCGUUAGAUUACGGCUCUAAAGGUUGGGGGUUCGACUCCUCCCGCGCUCACAA
Molecule: transfer RNA, 77 nt
Filed under: Elizabethkingia ursingii
Lineage: Bacteria; Pseudomonadati; Bacteroidota; Flavobacteriia; Flavobacteriales; Weeksellaceae
Description: tRNA-Arg
Rfam family: tRNA
About the family: Transfer RNA (tRNA) molecules are approximately 80 nucleotides in length. Their secondary structure includes four short double-helical elements and three loops (D, anti-codon, and T loops).
Source: RNAcentral